GUCGACAAUACUUCAGAGAAUCAUUUCUAUAGUAUUCGACCUUCUCUAGGUUCCCUAAAGGAGCCACAGAUCCCACCCUGGUUGAUGAGAUAUAUCCUCGACACCCUAGAGUGAANCGCUCCUGGUUGCUCUCGAACCUUUUGCGUAAAGGCGGUCAUUCCCUCCUCUUUUGGGAGUGGACUGUAUAGAGAGCGGUGAUGAUCUCGUUCCCGGCUGCGGUCUUGUCCUUUUGGACGCGCGGUCGGGGCGGGUGUCGACGGACGUCUGACAGGC
Molecule: small nucleolar RNA, 273 nt
Filed under: Colletotrichum chlorophyti
Lineage: Eukaryota; Fungi; Ascomycota; Sordariomycetes; Glomerellales; Glomerellaceae
Description: Fungal small nucleolar RNA U3
Rfam family: Fungal small nucleolar RNA U3
About the family: Small nucleolar RNAs (snoRNAs) are involved in the processing and modification of rRNA in the nucleolus. There are two main classes of snoRNAs: the box C/D class, and the box H/ACA class.
Source: Rfam by way of RNAcentral